This 449-nucleotide ribosomal RNA is filed under the name uncultured bacterium. RNAcentral describes it as "bacterial SSU rRNA". It matches the Rfam family "Bacterial small subunit ribosomal RNA", at positions 29 to 506 of the family's 1533-position model. The record is from RNAcentral.
AUGAAUGCUGGCGGCGUGCCUAACACAUGCAAGUCGAGCGGUAACAGGUCUAGUUUACUAGAUGCUGACGAGCGGCGAACGGCUGAGUAACGCGUAGGAAUGUGCCCCAAAGUGAGGAAUAAGCAUCGGAAACGGUGUCUAAUGCCGCAUAUGAUCUUCGGAUUAAAGGAUUUAUCCGCUUUGGGAGCAGCCUGCGUACGAUUAGAUAGUUGGUGAGGUAAAGGCUCACCAAGUCGACGAUCGUUAGCUGGUCUGAGAGGAUGACCAGCCAGACUGGAACUGAGACACGGUCCAGACUCCUACGGGAGGCAGCAGUGAGGAAUCUUCCACAAUGGGCGAAAGCCUGAUGGAGCAACGCCGCGUGCAGGAUGAAGGCCUUCGGGUUGUAAACUGCUUUUAUAAGUGAAGAAUAUGACGGUAACUUAUGAAUAAGCACCGGCUAACUACGU